CGAACGCUGGCGGCGUGCCUCAUACAUGCAAGUAGAACGCUGAAGGAGGAGCUUGCUUCUCUGGCUGAGUUGCGAACGGGUGAGUAACGCGUAGGUAACCUGCCUGGUAGCGGGGGAUAACUAUUGGAAACGAUAGCUAAUACCGCAUAAUAGCAGUUGUUGCAUGACAACUGUUUGAAAGGUGCAAUUGCACCACUACCAGAUGGUCCUGCGUUGUAUUAGCUAGUUGGUGGGGUAACGGCUCACCAAGGCGACGAUACAUAGCCGACCUGAGAGGGUGAUCGGCCACACUGGGACUGAGACACGGCCCAGACUCCUACGGGAGGCAGCAGUAGGGAAUCUUCGGCAAUGGACGGAAGUCUGACCGAGCAACGCCGCGUGAGUGAAGAAGGUUGUCGGAUCGUAAAGCUCUGUUGUAAGAGAAGAACGAGUGUCAGAGUGGAAAGUUCACACUGUGACGGUAUCUUACCAGAAAGGGACGGCUAACUACGUG
RNAcentral lists this ribosomal RNA (493 nucleotides) under uncultured bacterium. Its description in RNAcentral is "partial 16S ribosomal RNA". It matches the Rfam family "Bacterial small subunit ribosomal RNA", at positions 30 to 507 of the family's 1533-position model. The record is from RNAcentral.